Molecule: transfer RNA, 76 nt
Filed under: Coprobacillus sp. AM37-9BH
Lineage: Bacteria; Bacillati; Bacillota; Erysipelotrichia; Erysipelotrichales; Coprobacillaceae
Description: tRNA-Ala
Rfam family: tRNA
About the family: Transfer RNA (tRNA) molecules are approximately 80 nucleotides in length.
Source: RNAcentral
GGGUCCAUAGCUCAGCUGGGAGAGCACCUGCCUUGCACGCAGGGGGUCAGCGGUUCGAUCCCGCUUGGCUCCACCA